AUUGAACGCUGGCGGAAUGCUUUACACAUGCAAGUCGAACGGUAGAGGGGGCAACCCCUCGAGAGUGGCGAACGGGUGAGUAAUAUAUCGGAACAUGCCCAGUCGUGGGGGAUAACGUAGCGAAAGUUACGCUAAUACCGCAUACGAUCUAAGGAUGAAAGCGGGGGAUCGCAAGACCUCGCGCGAUUGGAGCGGCCGAUAUCAGAUUUGGUAGUUGGUGGGGUAAAGGCUCACCAAGCCAACGAUCUGUAGCUGGUCUGAGAGGACGACCAGCCACACUGGAACUGAGACGCGGUCCAGACUCCUACGGGAGGCAGCAGUGGGGAAUUUUGGACAAUGGACGCAAGUCUGAUCCAGCCAUUCCGCGUGCAGGAUGAAGGCCCUCGGGUUGUAAACUGCUUUUGUACGGAACGAAAAGGUCUCUCUUAAUACGGGGGACUCAUGACGGUACCGUAAGAAUAAGCACCGGCUAACUACGUGCCAGCCGCCGCCGUAA
RNAcentral lists this ribosomal RNA (496 nucleotides) under uncultured bacterium. RNAcentral describes it as "partial 16S ribosomal RNA". It matches the Rfam family "Bacterial small subunit ribosomal RNA", at positions 30 to 523 of the family's 1533-position model. The record is from RNAcentral.